RNAcentral lists this long non-coding RNA (17732 nucleotides) under Medicago truncatula (barrel medic). Its description in RNAcentral is "lncRNA gene38224". The record is from RNAcentral. Lineage: Eukaryota; Viridiplantae; Streptophyta; Magnoliopsida; Fabales; Fabaceae.
AUUUGAUGUCUUAUUUCAUAUCAUUGCAAUCAUCUUAGAGUAUAAAAUCAUAACUUUAAAAAUACAAUUAUUUGGUACAUACGCAAAUACUAAAUGACAGCUUCACGGAUAUUCUAGCAUACAAUAUAUUGUACAUUUCUUUUGCUAGAGCAAAAACUCGUUCAUCUCACCCAGCUACUUAUACAAAAGCCUUUCCGACAUCUACCUAUAUAAUUUUGCACGUUUGGACAAUCUUUAUCUGUUAUACAAGAACGAGUAGAAGGUAAAUACGUGGAAUCACAUACUAUUAAGACAAGAAAUAUGGAAAUAAAUAUAAUCAAAACAUAAACAAACUUCGGAGUUUCAGCCAUAUUUUUCACUCUUUGAAUCUAAUGUAGGAUAAGAUUUGCUCUAUUUAUAGUGUAUAAAGUUCAUGCUCUCAUAAUCAUUAAACUGUUUAAAAAUCUCUUCAGAAACUUAGAAUAAUACUAAAUGCCCAUUAAGUAUAUCUGUGUUGUAUUGGUCCUUUUCACUCUUAGAAAGGAGUUCAAAUCAUAAAAUUGAUAAUAAUAAGAAUUACAUCAUCAAUUUUAUUAAAUUGUGAAUGUGAAGAAAAAAGUAAAUAAAAGUUAUAAGUUAAAUAAUAUUAAAUUCUAAUCAUAAUAAAUUUUAUGAUUUGAACUCCUUUCCAAGUGUGCAAGGGACAAGACAACAAUUUGAUAUAUUUAAGAGGUGUUUAGGAAAUAUUCUAAUUUAUUUAAGUGUUUUUUUUUUUUUGUCAAGUAGUCUAGUGGUUAGAAAUUUAACACAUAAAAUGAAUAAGUGGGGAAUCAGGUUCGAACCCCGACCCCGACAUAUAUAAUGUGAUAUCUUUACCAACUAAAAAAAAGUUAUGCUCAUGAGGACAAAUGAUAACCAACAUAAUCAUAGGUUAUUACAUUGCAUGAACUAGUAAUGCUCGUUGUUGUUGUUUUAUGGAUUAGAUUAAGGAUUUGCGUAUUGAUACAAGAAGAUACAAUGUUGUUGUUUUGAAGAAGUUAAAUUAAUCUAUCCAAAUUGGUACGGGAGGUAAUCAAACUUGAGACCUUGAGGAGGAGCACAUUUUCAGGUCUCAAGCCAUUACCAUCAGACCAACUCAUGUGAGUUUCAACUCAUCUAAAGUUGUCUAAUAUAUAUCAUAGAUAGUGGAUUCUCUCUUAGUUUCUCUUUUUGAUUAUUUCUUGAGUUAAACUAAUUACUGUUACAAAUCACCAUAUCAAAUCUCUUUUCGGUGUGUGCUAAACCACCCUUGCCAUUACUCCAAGUAAAUUGUGCAUCCACAAUAGAUAAAUGAAUCUAUGACAGUUGUGAUUAGUUCAAACUGGUGUUGAUAUCUCCCAUGAAGGAAUAAUAUAGUUCUUAUUUAUUGUGGAUAAAAGUCCAUAAUAUUUUUCUAGUAAUGUAGUUAUUGGUGGAUGCAUAAGGUUUCAAGUAAAUGAAAUGUGUUUUUUUUUCAAGGAAUAAAUGAAAUGUGUUGAAUAGAAUUACUAAUGACAAUAGGAUAAAUAAUAUGGUUAGCACAAAAACCCCAUAAAUUAGGAAGCAAAUCACCUUUAUUGUCAAAAUAAAAAGAACUUGUCAUGCAAGUUAUUGAAAAAAAUAAUAGUUUUUUGAUUGAAACGUAACCUUUUGGAAUCAAAUUAUGACCAGAAAUUGGCAAUACCCCACCAACCUCAUUACAGGUAAUAGGAUUCCCAACAUUGUUGCCAUUGUUUUUUUUUUUUUUUUUUUUUCUUUCAAGUAGAUUAGUGGUUAGAGCUCACACAAUUUAAUUGUGGCGAAGUGGGGUGACCGGAGUUCGAACUUCGGCCUAGGUAUAUAAUAUGCGAUAUCCCUACCAGCUGAGCUAAGCUCACAGAGAUUUAUUUUUUCCUAUCCUCUAAGAUUGGAAAUAAAUAGACUAAAAUUUGCAGUAACUUCAUCAUCCUUCAAUCUUGUUAUUAAUGUUAGACUAAAAUUUGCAGCUCAUUCUUCUUUGUGGCCGCAUUUACCUCUUUGUCUAGUAAGGACUGAGGGUGCACCUGCACACCCUGAAGUUAUGAAAUUUACACCAAUAAUCUUAUGUUAUUUCUAUUUGCACGCCCUGAGUUUUUAAGUUUGUACCCGAUCAAGAGACUUCCUCACUUUUUUAAGUGUAACUUGCUUCUGAUUUUAUAUUGUGUUUAUUGUCUUUUCGAGAAUGCACAGUAUGCAGCCUAGAGUAUAGCUUCCUUCUUUUUGUGUCGCCCAGAGUUACGCUUACAAAGCCUAACCAGUAAACUAUGGUGAUUUAAUUACACGCCAAUAUAGUAUAUAUCUAAUUACAUAUGGUUUAUUUUAUUAAUCUUUCAAAUGUUAAAUAGUGUAGAAUUUAUAAUUUGUCAAAUUCAUUUUCCUAAUAAUAACAAUACAAGUUUAAUGGAUAUGCAAUAUUUACACUGUCAUCCUAUGUGAACACAUUAUCUUGCCAUUUCCUUUUUUUUUACCAACACAACAUCUUACCAUGUAAGUCUAUUUUGCAACCAUUUUUUUUUUUUUUAAAAUAUAACUGCCACAAGCUAUUAUAUUUUUAUUGGACCUUAAUGUAAAAUUAGUUUACACUAACAAUGCAUGUCAUAUUUUAUCUAAUAAAUGAAUGAUUAAAUUAAAGGAAAAAUAGUUCUAUAAAAAAUGUGUGUGUCUAACAGUCCUAACUCAACUGACAAAUAUCAAAAUUGUAAGGUUGGAUGUCGUGAUCCUAAUUCCCAAAAGUUUAAGGUUAUCUAUAACACCCUAAUUCUCGAUGUUGAUUUAAUAAACAACAAUAUCUUUUUUUUUUUUGGGUUACAUAAAACAAUAAUAUCUUUAAAUGAAAGGAUUUUACACAAUACUCGUUAGUCUAUCAAUAAAUAAAUAAAUAAUGCAUCAUAUUUCAGCAUUGGUGGAUACUUCAAAAUAUUUCAUAAAUAAAAGAAUAUGAUCCUCAACAUUAUUUGUGGAAAAUAACAUAAAAUUUCACAAGACUUAAACUUGAUAGAAUUAAACAUUCAAUGUUUGCCCCUAACCCUAGUGUUACAAAUCAGAGCACGAGUUUUUCGACUACAAAAAAUCACUAAAUAAUAACAACGGAAGUAAAUCCCCUUCGUCACCUCCUAAGCGUCCCGCAACUAGAGCUCUCUGUCUGGAGUAUCUGUACCCGAAUAGUACAUACACCAUAAAUGCAACAACAACAAAGGGGUGAGAAUAUAUGUCAUAACAUUUAGUUGUGACACAUGAAUAAUAUAUAAAUAGACAUAGCAUCUUUAGUCAACAUUUACAAUAUAUUCAAAUUCUUCAUCAAAUUAUACAUCAUCAUUCACACAUCAUCAUUAUCAUAACUCCUCAGGUUCAAAAAAUUAAAGAAACACACGUAACAUUCACAAUACAUCAACAUUAAUACAUCAACAUAUAUGUGGGGAAAUGCAACUCAUUCCUAAGACGUAUCUGCAUGUUGGUACGUUUUCUACUCGACAUUUGCAUGUCAGAGUUGUAAUAUUCAACAUACAUACAACAUAAUCAACAUUUUAUGUCAGAGUUGAUACCGUAAAUAUUACGAGAUAAGGAUCCUAUAUAUAUAUAUAUAUAUAAAACAAUUUUCCACCUUAUUUCAUUUCGUUGCCAACAUCUUAGAGUACAAAAUCAUAACUUCAAGGUUCAUAAAAUUUAGAAAAGAAAAUACAAUUAUUUGGUGCGUGCACGAAAACCAAAUGACAGUUCCUCGAAUAUUCCAGCAUAAAGUAGAAUCUACAAUUCUUUUGCUAGAUCAGCUGGAACACAUUCAUCCUCGUGGGAUUAGUAGGCAUUGGGUUUUACGACACCUAGCAGUAUAACCUCUCAAUUGUGGACAAUCUUUAUCUGUUUUACAAACUGGAGAACUUGGAAAAAAAGAAGAUUCACAUACUAUUAUGACAAGAAAUAUUGAAAUAAAUAAAAUUAAAACAUAAACAAACUUCAGAGUUUCAGUCAUAUUUUUCGCUCUUUGUAUCUAAAAAAUAUGAUAAGAUUUGAUAUUUUAUAGUGUAUUAAAUUUAUGCUCUCAUAAAAAUAAUUAAAUAGUUAAUUGGCAUUUAUUAAAAUUUUAAAAACCCUUCAUAAAGUUACAAUAAUAAAUGUCUCUUUGUAUAUCACUGUGUUCUGUUUGUCCUUUACACACCUAGAAAGCAUUUCAAAUAAUAAUAAACUUGAUAAUCAAUAGAAUUGAAUAUUAUUUAACCAACUUUUCAGUGUACUUUACCAUUAAAAAACAAUAUCAUUACUUUUUAAUCCUUUCGUGAUAGUAAAGGAAAAAAAACAUAUUUUUUACCAUCGUAAAAUUAUCUACGGAUAUAAUGCAUCCUUGGGUUGAGACCAUAUUUAUGCGCAAGUAGAAUGGACAUAUGAUCAAUUUAUAUUUUAUAUUAAAUCAUUGGAUCAUAAAGAAUAUGAGACAUUUGCUAAAACCGUGUGUCUGAAUAGUACCACAUAAGUUCUUUUUGGAGGGAAAUCGAGAUCAUUAAAGGCAGUAGAAAUUUAAAAAAAAAAUGAUUUCCUAUCUUUUGAUCAUUACAAAUUUGACAUUAUCAUUGGUGGAAUUGUUACCUUGAAGUGCAUAAAAAGAUUUCGAUCACAACAAAGCAACGUACCAGUGCCUCCACCCAUCCACACGAAUAGUUCUCCUCUGGUUCUUGGUGCUAGCCAAGUGAUCAGAGGUUCAGAGAGAACUAGGGUUAAUUUGUUUUUUGGUUUUAGCGUUUCUACAAAAACGUGUAACCUCUGACUUCAACACAACGGUUCUAUUUAUAUAAGAAAAUUGUUCUUCUCCCAUUAAGUUUGUCUCAUUUGCAACCGAACUACCCCAAAUACCCCCGCGUGAGUUAACUCACACAUGUGUUACACCCAACGUGACUUAACUCACACUUGCCACCUGACUUAAGUUAGUGUGAGUUAACUCACGUAGGUUAUAACCCAGGGUUAGUUAACUGAUGUAGGUUAUAACCCCACUGUGAGUUAACUCGUGUAGGUUAUAACCCCAGCGUGAGUUAACUCAUAUAGGUUAUAACUCAGCGUGAGUUAACUCACACAGGUUAUACUUCAGCUAACUAAGUGUGAGUUAACUCACGCCGGAGGUAUUAUGGUCAGUUUGUAUGAGAGGGAGUGUUGUUUAUGAGGAGAAGAUAAAUUUUCUUUAAAGAACUUUGUGUGCUCUGCAAGUCAAUUAAUCACUACUAGGCUUUGGGCUUUUAUAAGCCCAUUAACCAAUCAGCCUACGCUAACUAAUUAGCGUCAUUUUUUAGCACCCCAUCUUAUAAGUUUUACUUAUAUAUCUCCUUUUUACCGUUCAAUUGGGUGUGUUCCUAUAUGUUAAUGUAACGUUGGCAAUACUAUUAAAUCUUAUAUUUAAUAUUAUAAAUAGUGAGCGGUAUCUAACAACACAUCACGCCUACUCAAAUGACAAGAAUGUCAAGUGAUCUGACGAAACCUUUUUCAUGAUAAUGUUCAUGUGUACAAAUACUCCUUUGUCCUCAUAUCUAUAUCGAACACAAGGCAAAUAUUGUGUCACCCUUCUAUAGCUCGGUAUUUAUAUUUCUUGAUCCCGAAAUAUACUGAGUAACGAAUAAGUCAAAUAUCUCAUAUUAACUUCAUUCGGCAUGACCAUGCAAUUUUACCAUCAUAUUUCAUUAAGAGGACUAAAGAUAUAUCUCAUGUUACGAAGGAGGGAUAAACUCAUCUAGGACACUCAUGUCCCUCAGCGUGAUUUAUCAAAUGUCCAUUAACCAACGUUAUGGUUAUCCUGUUACAGACAACAUUCGAAUGACAAUAAAACUUUUGAUUCCACAUCUAGGGAUCAUAGUGGUUUCAGGACUAAGAGUGGUAUACACCGUUAUCAUUAUGAGAAUAUCUUAUGACAUUUUCAUAACAUAUAUAUUAUGUAGUAUUCUCACGGUGGGUUAAUCCAAUAUAAAUAUUGCUCAUAAUAUUUCUACCUGUGUAUAGACUUAAUAUUUCAUAUUCAUAACCCAUGAAAGGUAGUCAUCAGUCUACAUACAUAAUAGUCUAUACGCUUUACUAUUACACGAAUUUAGACUAAAGCUUGACUACAUGUACUUUUAAAUAUAGUGUUCUUUAUGUUAAUGUAAUUUCAUGAUUAAGUUACACUUAUUGUUCAAUCAUAUGAACUAUCCAUUCUAGAGACUUUAUUAAUCUUACAACAAGUAUAAUUAAAAAUCCUUUAUUUUAUUGAAUAAUAAAAGUCAUGAUACAUAUGAUAAGUUUAACAUAAACUAUUGUAUUAUCGAUUUUUAUAAAUAAUUUGUCUUUGUACUAAAUCGGAUCACUGGGUAAUAUCAAUCUGAAUCUUUGUGGUGUAUUUAGUUCAAAAUACAUAAUCAUUCAUUGAAAUAUAUAAAAUUGUGAGUUUCUCAUUUAAGAAUUAGAGAUUGAAUUUUCUAUUAGUUUCCUAGCCAUUUCGGCAUCAGAGCAAGGUUCUAAAUUUAGAGUUCAGUUUGUGUGACUUGAAGUCACUCAAAGCUAAGUAAAGGUGCACGCACCGAUGCGCAUCCAUAACUGCUCCAAUAGUGGGCUUUUUCUUCAAAACUCACCCCUCAACAAACGUUGACAUCAUAGAUUGACUAAGAUUAGAUGUGCAUUCAACUUUUUAACAUCGAAUUUUUUGGUUUUGUGAAUUUGUUUGCAUCCUUCGGUUUUUGUGUUUCUGUUUCCCACAAUGUCUGUGUCUAUACUCUAUAACUUACUUUCAGCUAGGUCAACCGAGUUAAUUGUCCACUUUGUGUUUAUUAUUAUUGUUUUAUUACUAAUUAGUAUAAAUAAAAAGGACAGGGUGAAUUCUUAAAUAAAUGUACCCAAAUAAUAAUAAUGAAAUAGGGAGGUACAAACAACUUAUAAUGUGGUACAUUAACAAUAUAUCAUAGCAACGGGGUCCUAACUCAAAUAUUCAAUUCUUCCUGAAUGCAAACAAUUAGAUUGGUUGACAUAAAAAGCAUUCAUCCAUGUCACCCUGAAUUUUCAACGGUCAAAAACAUCCGAUUAGAAAGAAAGAGACAUUUAUUUUGUUCUAUUUCUAGCUAGUUGCUUAUUCCAUGCUAUCAAUGGAACAUUUUUUUUUUUUUUACUUUCGCACCAGUUUCUGAUCCACUAAAGAUGGGCGACUAAUCCGGCUCGUGCGCAAAGGCAUGCACACUAGUCAAGCGUUCUUCCCCCUGGGAAUCGAACCCAGUAUUCCCUGGAUACGUCCUUGAAAUUAGCUACUUGCCACUGGAGCCGAAACAACUUGGUUAACGGAACAUUUAACCUCACAAGAUUUUGCAACAUUUUUGGAUCUAAGACUUGAAACCUUCAAUAAGCACCCCAAGAGUGGCCUAAUGAAAAUAUUAACUUCGUUAAAUUAUAUUAUUGGUUUGAAGUAUCCAUUCAUUUUGCCAAUAACUAUUAUCUGCCAGAAAAUUAGGCUAACCACCUUUAAUGGAUUCCUUCUUUCCUCGGAACCACGUUUUUUAAUCUAAAAUACUCGUAUUUGAGACUAUACUUAAAAGAUUCAGGCUCAAUUUCACCCAAACAAACAUAAUAUUUGUAUUACAUUUAUAUCAACAUGUUAUGGCAUAGAAAAUGUUAUAUAUAAAGACAUUGAGGACUAUCUACUCAUAUCUACAAAAACAAAUAGAGCCUUAGAAUUAAUAUACUCAAAUUCAAUAGGUUCAAUUCACUUAAAUGGCACCCUCUUCAAGUUUUGUUCCCUGUUGAUGUUUUUCUUGGUUUAAUUUUAGUACUAAGUGUUAUUAACCCUAUAGGUGAAGCUAGGGCAAGAGCGUUUGUAGUAUUUGGAGAUUUUCUUGUUCACCAACUGCUCCAUAAUCUUAUUCCAUUUGCUUCAAAAUGAGCAGAAAACAAAUUUAAGUGUAUUAUAAAAUGAAGAAAAAAAUUUAUAACCAAAAUAAUGAUAUGGAAAUAAGUUAAUUCCAACUCAUACAUGCUAUAUCGGCGCCACAUGAUAAUGAGCACAAGACAUCAUCAUAAUUGGCAGGGCCGUCUUUACAAAUUCAUAGGCCCGGUUUUAAUUUUAUAAGGGAUGCAAAAAAAAUAAAUUCAGGGCCCCAAAAAAUUAAAUAAGUUAUUUAAAAAAAAAAUAUUAGAAAUCACACUUUGGUGGGUCUUGAACACAUGACCUCACACUCAACAAAAAGUGGCCACGCCACUAAAGCAAGCUAUACAAAUUGAAAAAAUCCACUUUUAAUAGAUAUAUAACCAUUAUUUUCAUGUCUUACAUAUAAAAAAAAAAAUUGGGCCCCAAAAAAUUGGAGGCCCGGUGUCGUCGCCCAGCCUCGACGGGCUAUGGGCCGGCCCUGAUAAUUGGUGGGGGACCAAAGAAAACUCAAUAAUUGUGUAACAAGGGGACCAUAAAGUUGGAUUUUUUUUAUUGUCUGAGUUUGAACCCCGAACCUUACAUAUAUUAUGCAUUGUUCUUACUAACUAAGCUAAGCUCACAUGGACAAAAAAAAGUUGGAUUUUAAAUGAGAGGACCAAAAUUUCUUUUGUUUUUUUUUUUUUUAAAUAAGGGGAUCAAAAGUGCGUUUAAGCCUUUAGUUUAAUAGUCGUGUCGAAAACAACUAUUCAUGUGAAGAAGUUAACUUAGUGAUUUAUUAAUUGAAACGAUUUGAUGUACUUGCUGAAUUCGUCAUCAUCUACAAAGUUGAAUGAAUAAAUAUAUAUAUAUUUUUUUUUUACAAAAAGUAAGAUAAAAAUUAAUUUUCAACCAAACUAUUAUAUUGAUUUUUUUAGAUGGUUGGGUUGAAAAAAAAGGAGUGAUAUGUCUAGAAUGCAAAUCAUCAGGAUACCUUCAAAUUUACGAGAUAAAAAGACAUCUAUAAAAAAAAUAUCUGCUGUCUUAUUUCAUAUCAUUGCAAUCAUCUUAGAGUAUAAAAUCACAACUUUAAAAAUACAAUUAUUUGGUGCAUACGCAAAUACUAAAUGACAACUUCUCGAAUAUUCUAGCAUACAAUAUAUUGUACAGUUCUUUUGGUAGAGAAAGAACUAGUUCAUCUUAUCCUGCGUCUUAAACAAUAGCCUUUCCGACAUCUAGCUUUAUAAUUUUGCAGGAUUGAACAAUCUUUAUCUGUUAUACAAGGAAUAGAAAAAUGUAUAAAAGUGGAAUCACAUACUAUUAAGACAAGAAAUAUGAAAAUAAAUAUAAUCAAAAUAUAAAUAAACUUCAGAGUUUCAGCUAUAUUUUUCACUCUUUGAAUCUAAUGUAGGAUAAGAUUUGAUCUAUUUAUAGUGUAUAAAGUUCAUGCUCUCAUAAUCAUUAAAUUGUUUAAACAUUUAUAAAAUUUUAAAAACUCUUCAUAAAAUUAGAAUAAUACUAAAUGCCUCUUAAAUAUAUCUAUGUGUUUGUAUUGGUCCUUUUCACUCUUAGAAAGGAGUUCAAACCAUAAAAUUGAAGAAAAAAGUAAAUAAAAGUUAUAAGUUAAAUAAUAUUCAAUUUUAAUCAUAAUCAAUUUUAUGAUUUGAGCUCCUUUCCAAGUGUGUAAGGGACAACACAACAAUUUGAUAUAUUUAUGAGGUGUUUAGGAAAUAUUCUAAUUUAUUGAGCUCCUUUCCAAGGAUUUUAAAUGAGAGGAUCAAAAAUUCAUUUUUUUUUUUUAAAUAAGGGGAUCAAAAGUGCCUUUAAGCCUUUAGUUUAAUAGUCGUGUCGAAAAGAACUAUUCAUGUGAAGAAGAUAACUAAAUGAUGUAUUAAUUGAAACGAUUUGAUAUAUUUGUUGAAUUCGACAUCAUCUACAAAUUUGAAUGAAUAAAUAAAUAUAUUAAUUUUUUAUAAAAUGUAAGAUAAAAAUUAAUUUUCAACAAAACUAUUAUAUUGAUUUUUUUAGAUGGUUGGGUUGAAAAAAAGGAGUGAUAUGUCUGGAUUGCAAAUCAUGAGGAUAACCUUCAAAUUUACAAGAUAAGAAGACAUUUGUAAAUAAAAUUAUUUGUUGUCUUAUUUCAUAUCAUUGCAAUCAUCUUAGAGUAUAAAAUCACAACUUUAAAAAUACAAUUAUUUGAUGCAUACGCAAAUACUAAAUGACAACCUCUCGAAUAUUCUAGCAUAUAAUAUAUUGUACAAUUCUUUUAUUAGAGCAAGAACUAGUUCAUCUUAUCUUUUCACUUACACAGUAGCCUUUCCGACAUCUACCUUUAUAAUUUUGCACGUUUGGACAAUCUUUAUCUCUGUUAUACAAGAACGAGAAGAAGGUACAAAAGUGCAAUCACAUAGUAUUAAGACAAGAAAUAUGAAAAUAAAUAUAAUUAAAACAUAAACAAACUCCAGAGUUUCAGCCAUAUUUUUCACUCUUUGAAUCUAAUGUAGGAUAAGAUUUGAUCUAUUUAUAGUGUAUAAAGUUCAUCCUCUCAUAAUCAUUAAUUUAUUUAAACAUUUAUCAAACAAUUUGUCAUGGUGCUUGAGCAUAUGUGUCAAAACAAUUCUUGAGAAUAUUCAUAUUAGCAAGAGUACCUUUACAGAAAACUAAUCAUUAAAUCAUAUGCAUAUACACUAAUCACAUGAGAGGGGACUAAGGACCUCCUUGGCUUCUUAACCCCUCUUUAACAGGGAAAAAAACUAGCAAAUUUACCUUUAACCGGUAUUAAUAACCAUCCACUUAGGUUGGUGGUGGUAUUGGAUUGGGAUCUGGGAGUGUGCUCCUCCUUAAACUCUCAGAUUCGAUUAUCUUCGAUGUUAAUUUGGAUGAGCUAAUUUACCUUCUUACAAAAAACAGUAUUAACGUUUAACAACCUAGAGGCAUGCAAAAUAGUACUAAUCUAGUUGCAAAAUUUAUCAGCAAAACUGAAGCAAUUCAGCAAGUAGAAAUUUCCAAUCUGAUGUGUCAAAGGCCUUCCGAAUGUUUCUGCUUUGAUUAAAUCCCUUCUGGUGAGUAUAUAUACUUUUAGGCAUGAUAGAAGCAACUCUAUAGGCUAACAAUUGUGUGAAAAUAUUGAAUUUGAAUUUUGCCAAGGUUAUAGGUCUUCAAUUAUCCAUAUUAGUGGCUUCAAGACUUUUAGGAAUCAAAAUCACAUUGUUAGAAUUGUAGUUAGGAAGUAACCUAUUAAUUUUAAAGAAGUGAGAAACUGCAUUGAAGACAUUAGUUCUCACAAUGUCCCCAUAUAUUUUAUCAAAAAAUUGCAUGAUUUACCUUCACUACUAGGGAGAUUAGUAAGCAUUGCAUUCAUAAUGUUCUCAACAAUGUAAGGAAUGUAGUCAUCUGGAUCAUAUACUAGAUCAUCUUCAUGAAUAGUGAUAGAUUUAUUUGUGCAUUUAAUCUUGGCUAUUUUGUGAAAGAAUUUAGUAUUUCUUUCCUCCUAACUAAACAAAUGGACUCUACAAAAUUUUGUUCCUGAAUUGAUACAUAUUAGACAACGUAACAUAGCAUAAAGGUUAAGAUCUAUUGUCACCACCCUAGUAUGCUAGUGUUUCCCUUGCACCACCCUAUUAUUGACUCUAAACACAUUGUGUAUGACAUGUACAAUAUCUACAAGAAGAUUAUGUAUUCAUUGAUGCAUUAAUUAUUGAUACUCAACUUUAAUCUGGCAUGUAGGAUAACUACAAAUAAGGUCACUUCCUACAUGUAUUCUUAUCAUUGAAAUAUAUAAAAUUGUGAGUUUCUCAUUUAAGAAAUAGAGAUUGAAUUUUCUAUUGGUUUCCUAGCCAUUUCGGCAUCAGAGCAAGGUUCUAAAUUUAGAGUUCACUUUGUGUUACUUGAAGUCACUCAAAGCUAAGUAAAGGUGCACGCACCGAUGCGCAUCCAUAACUGAUGCAAUAAUGUGACCGGGGCUCGUGCGUAGAGGCAUGUACACUGGUCAAGCAUUGUUCUCCUUGGAAAUCGAACCCGGUAUUUCCCGGAUACGUCCUUGGAAGAAGCUACUUGCCACUGGAGCCCAAGCAACUUGGUUACGGAACAUUUAACCUCACAAGAUUUUGCAACAUUUUUAGAUCUAAGACUUGAAACCUUCAAUAAGCACCCAAGAGUGGCCUAAUGAAAAUACUAACUUCGUUAAAUUAUAUUAUUGGUUUGAAGUAUCCAUUCAUUUUGCCAAUAAUUAUUAUCUGCCAGAAAAUUAGGCUAACCACCUUUAAUGAAUUCCUUCAUUCCUUGGAACCACGUUUGUUAAUCUAAAAUACUCGUAUUUGAGACUAUACUUAAAAGAUUCAGGCUCAAUUCCACCCAAACAAACAUAAUAUUUGUAUUACAUUUAUAUCAACAUGUUAUGGCAUAGAAAAUGUUAUAUAUAAAGACAUUGAGGACUAUCUACUCAUAUCUACAAAAACAAAUAGAGCCUUAGAAUUAAUAUACUCAAAUUCAAUAGGUUCAAUUCACUUAAAUGGCACCCUCUUCAAGUUUUGUUCCUGUUGAUGUUUUUCUUGGUUUAAUUUUAGUACUGAGUCAUGCACCCCCAGAAGAGAGUAAAGCUGUAAAGAAUUAUGCAGUUUAAUAAACUACAAAAAUUAACAAACAUUGUUUGGAAAACAAAAAUUUACUUGACCAAAGAAAAGUUAGAAGUAUCUUUUGUAUAGUUCAAUCGUGAAGUUGAAAAGGCAUAGAUUUAAUUUUGUUAGACAUGUUUUUUUUUGUUUUGUUGAAGAUGUUUUUAGACAUGAUUUUAUUUGUCAAUUGGUGGUAACAGUAGACUAUUGUAAGGUUAGGCGUUGAAAAAUGAGGAAGUUGGACUAAAAAUCUCCUCACAUGAUUAAUAAUAUUUUUUUAGGUAAAAGAAGGAAAUCAUAAUCAUAAUUAAUAUUGUGUGAAUGAUUAGUAAGAAGAUUAUUACUUUUGUAGUUAAAAGAGUAAGAUAAAAAUUAAUUUUUAACUUAAUUAUUGAAAUGAUUCUCGUGGUGGAGUUGGGAAAAUACUGUGAUAUAUCUGAAAUUGAGGCCAUGUAUAUACUAGAUAAGGAUACAUUAUAAAUAAAACAAUUUUCCGCCUUAUUGCCUUUUGUUGCCAACAUCUUAGAGUACAAAAUUAUAACUUCAAGGUACAUAAAAUUGGAAAAAGAAAAAAGAAAAUACAAUAUUUGGUGCAUGCAUAAAAAUCAAUGACAACUCCUCGAAUAUUCAAUCAUAAAGUAUAAUCUACGAUUCUUUUGCUAGAGUAGAAACUCAUUCAUCUCACUAGGCUAUAUGUAGGCAUUGGCCUUUUGUGAGAUGGUCAUAGUUGACCUGCUUAUUUGUUGUAAUAAGGUUCAGGCUUACUCCUGCUUUGCAUUUUAAUUUUUCUAACUUUGAUAAAAAAAAAAACAAAAAAAAACCCUAUAGGUGAAGCUAGGGCAAGAGCGUUUGUAGUAUUUGGAGAUUUUCUUGUUCACCAACUGCUCCAUAAUCUUAUUCCAUUUGCUUCAAAAUGAGCAGAAAACAAAUUUAAGUGUAUUAUAAAAUAAAGAAAAAAAUUGAUAACCAAAAUAAUGAUAUGGAAAUAAGUUAAUUCCAACUCAUACAUGCUAUGUCGGCGCCAGAUGAUAAUGAGCACAACACAUCAUCAUAAUUGGUGGGGACCAAAGAAAACUCAAUAAUUGUGUAAUAAGGGGAUCAUAAAGUUGGAUUUUUUAUUUUUAAUUGUCUGAGUUUGAAUCCCGAACCUUGCAUAUAUUAUGCAUUGUUCUUACUAACUAAGCUAAGCUCACAUGGACAAAAAAAAGUUGGAUUUUAAAUGAGAGGACCAAAAUUUCUUUUUUUGUUUUUUUUUUUAAAUAAGGGGAUCAAAAGUGCCUUUAAGCCUUUAGUUUAAUAGUCGUGUCGAAAACACUAUUCAUGUGAAGAAGUUAACUUAGUUAUUUAUUACUUGAAACGAUUUGAUGUACUUGCUGAAUUCGUCAUCAUCUACAAAGUUGAAUGAAUAAAUAUAUAUAUAUUUUUUUUAUAAAAAGUAAGAUAAAAAUUAAUUUUCAACUAAACUAUUAUAUUGAUUUUUUUAGAUGGUUGGGUUGAAAAAAAGGAGUGAUAUGUCUGGAAUGCAAAUCAUGAGGAUACCUUCAAAUUUACGAGAUAAAAAGACAUCUAUAAAUAAAAUUAUUUGUUGUCUUAUUUCAUAUCAUUGCAAUCAUCUUAGAGUAUAAAAUCACAACUUUAAAAAUACAAGGCUUAAAUAUGUUUUUCAUCCCUGUAAUUAUAGGUCGUUUGAUUUUUCAUCCCUGGACUUACUAAUCCUUCCAUUUUGCCCCUGUAAUUACUAAUCAUUUGAAAGUUCGUCCCUCUUCUCGGAUAAUCACUGCCACGUCAUCAAAUUAGCAAAAUGGCAUGGGAAUUGACAAAAAUACCUCUGGCUUAUUUUUAAAAAUUUAAAAAUCUGAAAAUAAUUUUAAAAAAUAAAAAAAAUUUUAAAAAUAUAAUUUUUUGAAAUAUGAAAAAAAAUUAAAAUUAUAUAAUUUUUUAAAAUCUGAAUAUAUAAUUUCGAAAAUUAUUAAAAAAUCUGAUUUUUUUAAAAAUCAUAAUAAUAAUUUCGAAAAAAUUUACGAUUAUAUAAUUUUAAAAAAUAUAUUUUUUGAAAUAUGAAAAAAAAAAUGGAAAAUUAUAUAUUUUUUUUAAAAUCAGAAUAUAUAAUUUCGAAAAUUAUUAAAAAAUCUGAUUUUUUUUUAAAAUCAGAAUAUUAAUUUCGAAAAAAUCUGAUUAUAUAUUUUUUAAAAUUAUGUGAAAAAUUAUUUCAUUUUUUUUCGAAAAAGUUAUUUUCAAAAUAUUUUUAGAACUUUUUUAUGUUUUAAAAUUAUUUUCAGAUUUUUUUAAUUUAUAAAAACAAUUUUCAGAAUUUUAAAAAUAAGACAGGGGUAUUUUUGUCAAUUCCCAUGCCAUUUUGCUAAUUUGAUGACGUGGCAGUGAUUAUCCGGGAAGAGGGACGAACUUUCAAAUAAUUAGUAAUUACAGGGGCAAAAUGGAAGGAUUAAUAAGUUCAGGGAUGAAAAAUCAAACGGCCUAUAAUUACAGGGAUGAAAAACAUAUUUUUUCCAAAAUACAAUUAUUUGGUACAUACGCAAAUACUAAAUGACAACUUCUCGAAUAUUCUAGCAUACAAUAUAUUGUAUAGUUCUUUUGUUAGAGAAAGAACUAGUUCAUCUUAUCCUGCGUCUUACACAAUAGCCUUUCCGACAUCUAGCUCUAUAAUUUUUCACAAUUGAACAUUCUUUAUCUGAUAUACAAGGCUUAGAUAAUUGUAUAAAAGCGGAAUCACAUACCAUUAAGACAAGAAAUAUGAAAAUAAAUAGAAUCAAAAUAUAAACAAACUUCAGAGUUUCAGUCAUAUUUUUCACUCUUUGCAUCUAAAAAAUAGUAUAAGUUAUGAUAUAUUUAUAGUGUAUUAAAAAAUUUAUGCUCUCAUAAAAAUUAUUAAAUAGUUUAGGCAUUUUUUAAAUUUUAAAAACCCUUCGUAGAAUUAUAACAAUAAAUGUCUCUUAGAGUAUAUCAGUCUGUUUUUGUCCUUUUCACACCCGGAAAGAUGUUCAAAUACUCAACUUGAUAAUAUAAGAAUUUAAUUUUAUUUAACUGAAUUUGUUGGUGUACUUUUUUCUUCAAAAAAAAAAUAAAAAAAUUCAUAACUUUUUCAACCUUUCGUGACAGUAAAGCGCAACAAAUAUAUUUUUGACCAUCGUCAAAUUAUCUACGGAUAUAUCGUACCGUUGGUAUGAGACCAUAUUUAUGCACAAGUAAAAUGUAUGUAGGAUCGAUUUAUUUUCUUAUUUAAUCGUUGGAUCAUUAAGAUUGUGAGACAUUUGCUAAAAUCGUGUGCCUGGAUAGUAAGUAUGACGUAAGUUCUUUUAUACAUAGGAUUAAAUAAUUAAGAUUGUGAGAUGGUCAUAGUUGACCUGCUUAUUUGUUGUAAUAAGGUUUAGGCUUACUCCUGCUUUGCAUUUUAAUUUUUCUAGCUUUGAUAAAAAAAACAAAAAAAAACCCUAUAGGUGAAGCUAGGGCAAGAGCGUUUGUAGUAUUUUGGAGAUUUUCUUGUUCACCAACUGCUCCAUAAUCUUAUUCCAUUUGCUUCAAAAUGAGCAGAAAACAAAUUUAAGUGUAUUAUAAAAUGAAGAAAACAAUUGAUAACCAAAAUAAUGAUAUGGAAAUAAGUUAAUUCCAACUCAUACAUGCUAUGCUAUGUCGGCGCACAUGAUAAUGAGCACAACACAUCAUCAUAAUUGGUGGGGGACCAUAAAGUUGGAUUUUUUUUAUUUUUUUUUUGUUUGGGUUUGAACCCCGAACCUUGUAUAUAAUAUACAUUGUUCUUACUAACUAAGCUAAGCUCAUAUGGACAAAAAAAAGUUGGAUUUUAAAUGAGAUGACCAAAAUUUCUUGUUUUUUUUUUUUUUUUUUUUAAAUAAGGGAUCAAAAGUGCCUUUAAGCCUUUAGUUUAAUAGUCGUGUCGAAAACAACUAUUCAUGUGAAAAAGUUAACUUAGUGAUUUAUUAAUUGAAACGAUUUGAUGUACUUGCUGAAUUCGUCAUCAUCUACAAAGUUGAAUGAAUAAAUAUAUAUAUAUAUAAAAAUUAAAAUUAAGAUGUGGUUGGGUUGAAAAAAAGGAGUGAUAUGUCUGGAAUGCAAAUCAUGAGGACAGAGCUGUCAAAAUGGGCCGGGCCGUUUAUCCCGAAUAAAUAUAGGGCUUGGGCCUAAAAUAUUGAGCCUGAAUUUUAAUAGGGCUUUUUAGCCCGGCCCUUAAAAGCCCGGUACCCGUUAGGGCUAGCCCGAAUGGGCCGCGGGUAGCCCGUUAGCCCGCAUAACAAAAAAAAAUUCUAUAAAUUAUAUAUAUUUUUCGAAUAAUUAUUUACUUAGUUGAUUAUCAAAGUAAAAAACAAAAGUGAAAAUUCAAUGAAUUAACACAAAUAUAAAUGUAAUAUAAAAUCAUAUUUAUUCAUUUCGUUAUUUAUAGUUUUAAAGAUCGAAUAUAUAAAUAUCUAUAACCAUAACAUAUCUAAUUUAUUUAAAAUCAUUUUUCUCGUCGUUUUAGUUUACGACGUUUGUACGAAAAUGUUUACAAUUUACUUUUGUGCUAGACAUUAUUUAAAAAUAUUAAAAAUAUUAUUUAUAAAAAAAUUAUAGUAGUGUUUUAUAGUAUUUUUUUAAAAUAAAAAAUAUAUAAUUUUUAAUACGGGCCGGCCCGUUUAGCCCACGGCCCGUGUAGGGCCGGGCUCGGGUAGUAUAUUUCAAGCCCGUUUUGUCAACCGGGCUUUUUGGCCCGGCCCUCUAAAGCCCGAAGCCCGCUAGGGCCGGCCCGUUUAGGGCCGGGCUGCCCUUUUUGACAGCUCUACAUGAGGAUACCUUCAAAUUUACGAGAUAAAAAGACAUCUAUAAAUAAAAUUAUUUGCUGUCUUAUUUCAUAUCAUUGCAAUCAUCUUAGAGUAUAAAAUCACAACUUUAAAAAUACAAUUAUUUGGUGCAAUGCAAAUACUAAAUGACAACUUCUCGAAUAUUCUAGCAUACAAUAUAUUGUACAGUUCUUUUGUUAGAGAAAGAACUAGUUCAUCUUAUCCUGCGACUUACACAAUAGCCUUUCCGACAUCUAGCUUUAUAAUUUUUCAUAGGUGAACAAUCUUUAUCUGUUAUACAAGGCUUAGAUAAUUGUAUAAAAGCGGAAUCACAUACUAUUAAGACAAGAAAUAUGAAAAUAAAUAGAAUCAAAAUAUAAACAAACUUCAGAGUUUCAGUCAUAUUUUUCACUCUUUGAAUCUAAUGUAGGCUCUCAUAAUCAUUAAAUUGUUUAAACAUUUAUAAAAUUUUAAAAACUC